CCUACGGGAGGCAGCAGUGAGGAAUAUUGGUCAAUGGCCGGGAGGCUGAACCAGCCAAGUCGCGUGAGGGAAGACGGCCCUACGGGUUGUAAACCUCUUUUGUCAGGGAGCAAGGUGCAGGUCGGGACCUGCUGUGAGAGUACCUGAAGAAAAAGCAUCGGCUAACCCCGUGCCAGCAGCCGCGGUAAUACGGAGGAUGCGAGCGUUAUCCGGAUUUAUUGGGUUUAAAGGGUGCGCAGGCGGAGGGACAAGUCAGCGGUAAAAUCGCGGGGCUCAACCCCGCUCCGCCGUUGAAACUGUGGCCCUUGAGUGCGCGAAGGGUAGGCGGAAUGCGUGGUGUAGCGGUGAAAUGCAUAGAUAUCACGCAGAACUCCGAUCGCGAAGGCAGCCUACCGGCGCGCAACUGACGCUCAUGCACGAAAGCGUGGGUAUCGAACAGGAUUAGAUACUCCAGUAGUC
This 459-nucleotide ribosomal RNA is filed under the name uncultured bacterium. Its description in RNAcentral is "partial 16S ribosomal RNA". It matches the Rfam family "Bacterial small subunit ribosomal RNA", at positions 338 to 795 of the family's 1533-position model. The record is from RNAcentral.